AUUGAACGCUGGCGGCAGGCCUAACACAUGCAAGUCGAGCGGAGCGGCGCACGGGUGAGUAAUGUGUGGGGAACUGCCCGCUAGAGGGGGAUAACUACUCGAAAGAGUGGCUAAUACCGCCUACUAUCUGAGCGGCCCAUAUGGGAUUAGCUCGUUGGUGGGGUAAAGGCUCACCAAGGCAACGAUCCGUAGCUGGUUUGAGAGGACGACCAGCCACACUGGGACUGAGACACGGCCCAGACUCCUACGGGAGGCAGCAGUGGGGAAUUUUGGACAAUGGGGGAAACCCUGAUCCAGCCAUGCCGCGUGUAUGAUGAAGGCCUUCGGGUUGUAAAGUACUUUUGGCAGAGAAGCGGUAUCUGCAGAAGAAGCACCGGCUAACUACGUGCCAGCAGCCGCGGUAAUUC
This 407-nucleotide ribosomal RNA is filed under the name uncultured bacterium. RNAcentral describes it as "partial 16S ribosomal RNA". It matches the Rfam family "Bacterial small subunit ribosomal RNA", at positions 30 to 526 of the family's 1533-position model. The record is from RNAcentral.